This 426-nucleotide ribosomal RNA is filed under the name uncultured Bacillota bacterium. Its description in RNAcentral is "bacterial SSU rRNA". It matches the Rfam family "Bacterial small subunit ribosomal RNA", at positions 958 to 1385 of the family's 1533-position model. The record is from RNAcentral. Lineage: Bacteria; Bacillati; Bacillota.
AACGCGAAGAACCUUACCAGGUCUUGACAUCCUCUGAAAACUCUAGAGAUAGAGCUUCUCCUUCGGGAGCAGAGUGACAGGUGGUGCAUGGUUGUCGUCAGCUCGUGUCGUGAGAUGUUGGGUUAAGUCCCGCAACGAGCGCAACCCUUGACCUUAGUUGCCAUCAUUAAGUUGGGCACUCUAAGGUGACUGCCGGUGACAAACCGGAGGAAGGUGGGGAUGACGUCAAAUCAUCAUGCCCCUUAUGACCUGGGCUACACACGUGCUACAAUGGACGGUACAAAGAGCUGCAAGACCGCGAGGUGGAGCUAAUCUCAUAAAACCGUUCUCAGUUCGGAUUGUAGGCUGCAACUCGCCUACAUGAAGCUGGAAUCGCUAGUAAUCGCGGAUCAGCAUGCCGCGGUGAAUACGUUCCCGGGCCUUGUA